CCUACGGGUGGCAGCAGUGAGGAAUAUUGGUCAAUGGACGAGAGUCUGAACCAGCCAAGUAGCGUGAAGGAUGACUGCCUUAUGGGUUGUAAACUUCUUUUAUAUGGGAAUAAAAUGUUCCACGUGUGGGCUUUUGUAUGUACCAUAUGAAUAAGGAUCGGCUAACUCCGUGCCAGCAGCAGCGGUAAUACGGAGGAUCCGAGCGUUAUCCGGUUUUAUUGGGUUUAAAGGGAGCGUAGGUGGAUUGUUAAGUCAGUUGUGAAAGUUUGCGGCUCAACCGUAAAAUUGCAGUUGAAACUGGCAGUCUUGAGUACAGUAGAGGUGGGCGGAAUUCGUGGUGUAGCGGUGAAAUGCUUAGAUAUCACGAAGAACUCCGAUUGCGAAGGCAGCUCACUGGACUGCAACUGACACUGAGGCUCGAAAGUGUGGGUAUCAAACAGGAUUAGAUACCCCUGUAGUC
Molecule: ribosomal RNA, 460 nt
Filed under: uncultured bacterium
Lineage: Bacteria
Description: partial 16S ribosomal RNA
Rfam family: Bacterial small subunit ribosomal RNA
Source: RNAcentral